GUUUGGUUUGGAAUUUGGGUUUUUUGUUUGUUUGUUAGGGGUGGGGGGCUUUUUUGUUUUGGUAUGGGGUUUUUCAUUUGUUGGUUAGUUUUUUUUAAUUAACUCCCCUGGCAGCUCUGGGCAGAGCUCUGUAACUGUCUGACACUCGUCUGUGGCACUGUGCAGGUGGCCAGGGGCACCUUCCCCGAGCUGUCUGCAGAGGAAUCCACAUCAGCCCAGGCCGGGCUGGGCAGUGACCGGUCAGUUCCAUUGCCUGGACGCGGCUCUGGACGCUUCCCUUGGAGCCUCUCCAGGGAGGGAAUGCUGGGGCUGUCACCCAUGGAGUGUCACAGACAGGGGAACGCUGGGGCUGUCACCGCUGGGGUGUCACAGACAGGGGAACACUGGGGCUGUCACCGCUGGGGUGUCACAGACAGGGGAACGCUGGGGCUGUCACCGCUGGGGUGUCACAGACAGGGGAACGCUGGGGCUGUCACCGCUGGAGUGUCACAGACAGGGGAACGCUGGGGCUGUCACCGCUGGGGUGUCACAGACAGGGGAACGCUGGGGCUGCCCCGCUCCUGCCCUGUCCCCAGCAGCUCUGCCAGCGCCUCGAGGAGACAUAAAGCCUGAGCCAAAGGGGCAGUGGGUGCCAGAAAGGAGCGUUGCUCCUUGGGGAAACACAAUGUCCUUGGACUUCAGCAGAGCAUUGAAAUGGGCCCCCUCGAGCACCUCAGCACCACUGAAAUCUCCUCUUACUGGACUCAGCCCAGGAGAUCUCCCAGAGCAGCUGCAGAGGAGUCACUGUCAGGCGGAGGGACGUUUAUCAAAGGUUGAUGUAGAUCAAAACAAGCUCUGGCACCAUUCCAUAUUUUUGUUUGUCACUGGGAAAUAAAUACAGAUGUCCCCAUGCCACA
Long non-coding RNA from Vidua macroura (Pin-tailed whydah), 896 nucleotides. RefSeq lists it as uncharacterized. NCBI's taxonomy places the organism in Eukaryota, Metazoa, Chordata, Aves, Passeriformes, Viduidae. The transcript is spliced from 3 exons. The record is from RefSeq and is a predicted model, not a curated record.